RNAcentral lists this ribosomal RNA (274 nucleotides) under uncultured bacterium. RNAcentral describes it as "partial 16S ribosomal RNA". It matches the Rfam family "Bacterial small subunit ribosomal RNA", at positions 85 to 354 of the family's 1533-position model. The record is from RNAcentral.
CUGCCGGCGACGGGCGCACGGGUGAGUAACACGUAUGCAACCUGCCCUCCGCAGGGGGAUAACCCGGAGAAAUCCGGACUAAUACCGCGUGGUACACCAGUGGGGCAUCCCACGGGUGUUAAAAGGAAGCGAUUCCGGCGGAGGAUGGGCAUGCGGCGCAUUAGCUAGUUGGCGGGGUAACGGCCCACCAAGGCGACGAUGCGUAGGGGUUCUGAGAGGAAGGUCCCCCACACUGGUACUGAGACACGGACCAGACUCCUACGGGAGGCAGCAG